GCCGGGCGUGGUGGCGUGUGCCUGUAGUCCCAGCUACUCGGGAGGCUGAGGCUGGAAGAUCUCUUGAGCCCAGGAGUUCUGGGCUGUGGUGCACUAUGCCGAUCAGGUGUCCGCACUAAGUUCGGCAUCAAUAUGGUGACCUUCUGGGAGUGGGGGCCACCAGGUUGCCUAAGGAGGGGUGAACCGGCCCAGGUUGGAAACGGAGCAGGUCAGUAGUGGGAUUGCGUCUGUGAACAGCCACUGCACGGCAGCCUGGGCAACAUAGCGAGGCCCAGUCUCUA
This is an unclassified non-coding RNA of Callithrix jacchus (white-tufted-ear marmoset), 281 nucleotides long. It matches the Rfam family "Metazoan signal recognition particle RNA". From Rfam's summary of the family: The signal recognition particle (SRP) is a universally conserved ribonucleoprotein. NCBI's taxonomy places the organism in Eukaryota, Metazoa, Chordata, Mammalia, Primates, Cebidae. The record is from Ensembl.